RNAcentral lists this ribosomal RNA (956 nucleotides) under Hygrobates longiporus. Its description in RNAcentral is "large subunit ribosomal RNA". The stretch from base 735 to 893 matches the Rfam family "Archaeal large subunit ribosomal RNA", at positions 2542 to 2701 of the family's 2987-position model. Lineage: Eukaryota; Metazoa; Arthropoda; Arachnida; Trombidiformes; Hygrobatidae. The record is from RNAcentral.
UACCUUUUGUAUUAGGGACAAAAGAUUAUAUAAAAUUUUUAUAUCUCGAAGUUUUAAGAUCUAUUUAAAUUAUUUUAGCUGUUGAAUUUUUAAAAAUUAAAAUAGGAGUUAUACGCUUACGCUUAUCUAUAUCUAGUUUUUUUGAAAAAAGGGGGGAAAAGCUCUCUUAUUCUCUUUAUUAAAUGGGUUUUUUUAUAUUAUUAAAAGUUUUUAUAUUGUGUAUAAACUAAUCUUUUAUGAUUAAAAUAUAAGGAAAAAAUAAUUUCUUUUAAUAAAAAUAUAUUAUGAUUUUUGUAUUAGUAGAAAAACUAAGUUUUUAAUUUUUUUUUUAUUUAAUUAUAAAUUUUUAUAUAUAACUAAAAAAAGUCUAAAAGAAUGUUUAUCAAAGUCUUUUUUAAAGAAAUCUUUAAAAGCCCCUGCCCUAUGUAAAACUUAAUGGCCAUGGUAAUUUGACUAUGCUAAGGUAGCGAAAUCGUUAGAAUUUUUAUUGAAUUCCAGUAUGAGUGAGGUCUCUUUCAUUCUUUUUUAAAUAAUUUUCUAUUAAAUUUAAUUUUUAUUUGAAAACUUUUUAAAGGAUUAAAAAAGACUAAAAGACCCUUGGAUUUUUAAAAGGAGAAUUUUAUUUUCUUUUAGUGAAGAAAAAUUUAUCUUUUUUUGCUUGGGGCAAGUUUUUAUAUAAAUUUAAUUUAAAGUAUAUAAAAAACUAAAAUUUUAAAAUGUAAAAAUACCCAAGGGAUAACAGCGUAAUCGCCUUUGGUAGAUCUUAUAUAAAAGGUUUCUUACGACCUCGAUGUUGGUUUGUUUUACCUAUUUGGAGCAGAAAAUAAAUUAGGUAGUCUGUUCGACUAUUAAAAAAACACAUGAACUGAGUUCAAGUCGGCGUAAGCCAGACUGGAUUUUAUCUUUUUAAAUUUGAAAAUUUUUUAGUACGAGAGGACCAAUAAUUUUUCUUUUAG